UACGGAGGGUGCGAGCGUUGUCCGGAAUCACUGGGCGUAAAGGGCGCGUAGGUGGCGCGACAAGUCAGUGGUGAAAGUUCGACGCUCAACGUCGAAUCGGCCACUGAUACUGUUGGGCUUGAGCACUGUAGAGGCUAAUGGAAUUCCGGGUGUAGCGGUGGAAUGCGUAGAGAUCCGGAAGAACACCGGUGGCGAAGGCGGUUAGCUGGGCAGUUGCUGACACUGAGGCGCGACAGCGUGGGGAGCAAACAGG
Molecule: ribosomal RNA, 253 nt
Filed under: uncultured bacterium
Lineage: Bacteria
Description: partial 16S ribosomal RNA
Rfam family: Bacterial small subunit ribosomal RNA
Source: RNAcentral